CUUGCCUGUGAUAUCCUCAGCUUGGAAUGGUUCUGGAUCGUCCUGCACGUACUCUCCUGACUCCACGUAUUCGGUCUCCGCUCCCGGUGCUACCCAACACAAGAAUAACAGCCAAUGAACAGCAGAACCACAAGAUGCAACAAUCACAUGAUGCAUGAGAUGAAAGUUGAGCAUGCACCACUAUUUCUAACACUAGNNNNNNNNNNNNNNNNNNNNNNNNNNNNNNNNNNNNNNNNNNNNNNNNNNNNNNNNNNNNNNNNNNNNNNNNNNNNNNNNNNNNNNNNNNNNNNNNNNNNAAGAUCUCUGACAAGGUGGCCCCACAUGGAAGGUUACAAGAAGGGAAAGUUCUACACUUGGGGCAUUACAAACUCUCCCACACUACAAAGAAGAUCUCGACCCCGAGAUCUAAGACUGAAAGAAAUCGGGAAAUUCGGAACGGAGGUGAUCCUCGCGUUCCCACGUAGCCUCUUUUUCGGAAUGGUGUGACCACUGCACUUUGAGAAACUUGACAGACUUGUUACGGGUCUUGCGCUCAGUCGCCUCGAGAACCGCAACUCGAUGCUCGCGAUAAGAGAGGUCAGGCUGGAGAUCGAUAUCCUGAAGAUGCACGGUGCGCUCGGGGUUCUUGAAACACCUCCGAAGCUGAGAAACAUGGAACACAUCAUGGACAUUUGCAAAGGUUGACGGAAGCUCGAGCUGGUACGCGAGGUCACCCCUCUUGCCAACCACUCUGAACGGACCAACGAAACGAGGCGCAAGCUUGCCUUUGAUGCCAAAACGCUGCAUACCCUUCAUAGGCGACACCUUGAGGUAGACAAAAUCAUCCAGCUCAUACGACAUGUCACGGUGCUUGCUAUCGUAAUAGCUCUUCUGACGGGACUGCGCUGCUCUGAGGUUGUCGCGAAUGAUCCGACACAUCUCCUCAGCCUCUUCUAUCAUAUCAUUGCCAAGGAUCUGACGCUCACCUGUCUGGGACCAGUUGAGCGGAGUACGGCACUUCCUGCCAUAGAGAAUCUCAAACGGAGCCUUGCCCGAGCUAGCUUGAUAACUGUUGUUAUACGAGAACUCCGCGAAAGGCAGACAAUCCUCCCACUUCAUGCCAAACGAGAUAACGCAGGCUCUCAGCAUGUCCUCAAGAACUUGAUUCACUCUCUCCGCUUGACCACUAGUCUGAGGAUGGAACGCUGUGCUGAAGCGGAUCUUCGUGCCCAUAGCAGACUGAAAAGAGUCCCAGAAUUUGGAAGUGAAGAUACUCCCACGAUCUGAUGAGAUCAUCAUGGGUACACCGUGCAAUGAGACAACCCUCGAGGUGUACAACUCUGCCAGCUGAGCUGCUGAAAUGGACUCCUUGACUGGAAGGAAAUGCGCCACCUUACUCAAUUUGUCGAUGACGACGAAGAUAGCGUCAUUGCCCUUCUUGGACUUCGGAAACCCUGUGACGAAGUCCAUCUCAAUGUGAUCGAACUUCCACUCGGGAAUCGGCAAAGGCUGCAAGAGGCCCGCUGGUCUUUGAUGUUCUGCUUUCACCCUUCGACAUACAUCACACUCAUUGACGAAUUGAGCAAUUUCACGCUUCAUACGGGUCCACCAGAACGACUGCUUCAAGUCAUGGUACAUCUUAGAACUUCCCGGAUGAAUAGAAAGCAGAGAAUUAUGAGCUUCUGCCAUGAUCACCUUCCUGAGAUCACCUUUCGGGACGACAAGGCGGUCCUCGAAAAACAAAGUGUCCCUGGCAUCCACAGUGAAACACUUAUACUUGGGAAGACUCUUUCCCACACCAAUCUUGACCUUCUUCACCAUAGUAUCAAGUAGCUGAGCUGCUCUGACCUGAUCUUCCAAGGUAGGAGAGAUCUGAAGGUUCGCAAGAAAACCCUGAGGAACCAGCUGAAGAUUGAGCUUCCUGAAAGACUCAGAAAGACCCGGCUGGAGAGGUUGCAGAAUCAGACUGUUGCAAUAUGCUUUCCUGCUCAAUGCAUCUGCCACAACAUUUGCCUUGCCUGGCGUGUACUCAACACUCGGAUUAAAAUCCUGGAGCAUUUCCACCCAACGUGUUUGCCGAAGAUUCAAGUUAGGCUGAGUGAAGAUAUACUUGAGGCUCUUGUGAUCGGUGAAAACUUCAACCUUACGUUCCAACAAGAGAUGUCUCCAAGUCAUCAAGGCGUGCACAACAGCUGCUAGCUCUAGAUCGUGCACAGGAUAGUUCUUCUCCGCAGGCUUCAGCUGCCUGGAGGUAUAAGCAACCACCUUCCUAUCUUGCAUCAAGACUGCACCAAAACCCUCAAGAGAAGCGUCGCAAAAGACCUGGUACGGCUUGGAAUCAUCCGGAGGAGCCAAUACCGGAGUGGAGGUAAGCUUCUCUUUGAGUGUAUCAAAAGCCAGUUGACACUCUGGAGACCACACAUACUUGACACCCUUCUAAAGAAGACCAGAGAGCGGCUUGGCGAUUUUGGAGAAGUUCUCAACGAAUCUUCUGCAAUAUCCGGCAAGACCGAGAAAGCUUAGAAGUUGCUUCACAUUCUGCGGAGGUUCCCAUUCAACAAUGGCCUGAACCUUGGACGGGUCAACUUUAAUGCCCUCGGCAGAGAUAAUAUGCCCAAGAUACACCACUUCUUUCAGCCAGAACUCGCACUUGGAAAACUUGGCAUACAGCUUGUAUUCUCUCAGUUUAUCAAGCACCAACCUGAGAUGUUUCUCAUGUUCUUCCUCAUCCUCAGAAAAGACCAGAAUGUCAUCGAGAUAGAGCAAGACAAACUCAUUCUUGAAUGGCGAGAAAAUAUAGUUCAUCAAUCGGCAAAAAGUCGGAGGAGCAUUAGCCAGACCAAAAGACAUGACCGUAUACUCAUAAGAGCCAAAACUGGUCCUGAAAGCCGUCUUUGGAAUGUCUUCCUCACGAAUGCGAAUCUGAUGAUAGCCCAUUCUGAGAUCAAGCUUGGAGAAUACUUUAGCACCUUUCAGCUGCUCGAACAACUCAUUUAUGUUCGGAAGCGGAUAUUUGUUCUUGAUUGUCUUCUUAUUCAAUGGGCGGUAAUCGACACACAGCCAUUCCGUGCCAUCCUUCUUCUUGACAAACGGAACACCACAUCCCCACGGAGACGAGCUUGGUCUGAUCAAACCCAAACGCUCCUGCUCAUCGAGUUGUCUCUUGAGCUCCUUCAACUCUUCUGGACCCAGCUUGUACGGCCGCUUGCACACUGGCUCUCUGCCUGGCUCAAGCUCAAUGACGAACUCCACUUCACGGUGCGGAGGCAUCCCUGGCAGCUCUUCAGGAAACACGUCCUGAUAUUCGCAGACUACUGGAACUUGCUCAAUGGGAUUGAUCUCACCCUUUUCAUUCAAGGAGAACAAGCGGACUGUGUCAUCGCGCGCCGCGAAUAUAAUCACAUCCUCCGAAGAGUGGGUCAGUUUCACUUCUUUAGCUUCACAAUCAAUUGAUGCUUUGUUCAUGGCCAACCAGUACAUACCAAGGAUCAAAUCAAUGUCGGACUUUCCCAAGACAUACGGAGAGGCCAGAAAAGCAUAAUUGUCCAUCUUGAUAGAAACAUCCGGAGCAAACCAACGAGAACUCAUAAGCAUGCCCGGAGAAACAAUAUCGAAAGACCUGGCCAACUCUUGAAGAUGGAAAUCGUACUUUGCCGCAAACGGAUAAGACAAGAAAGAAUGCGAUGCACCAGAAUCAAACAAGACUUUAGCAGGAAAAUCAUUGACUAAGAGAUUACCCAUGAUCACAUCCGACGAAUUCUCUGCCUCAGCUGCAUUAACCAUGUUGACUCGAGCUGAUCUGGGGUUGAACUUCACAAGAGCGUUGCUGGGAGGUUUGCCUGGAGGAGGAGGCGGCAGACGAAGCUGAGAAGUGCAUUUGUUGGCAUAGUGACCCUUCUGCCCACAUUUGUGACAAGUGACAUCUGCUGGCUGCCGGAACUGAAUCUGAGGAGGCCCUUGCUUCUGCUGCUGAUAUCUCUGCUGGAAUCCAGGGUUGGGUGGGCGGGAAGAACCACGUCCACCUGAGUGCUUCGGCUGCUGAGAGUGCCGAGGAGGAGGAGGAGAAACCCAAAACACUUGUUGCUUCUGAACCACCUGAGUCGAGGAAGAGCUGGAAUCUCUGAAACGUUUCUUGGAGUUCUCCACCCUGAGCAAGGCUGCCUCUGCUCUGAGAGCUAAGUUAUGGAAUUUGUCAAACUCCUCAGGAUCGUGCAAAGCGAGUGCUAACUGCAAAUCCUCCUUCAAGCCACCCCUGAACUGGUAUAUCUUGCUCUUCUGAUCCGGAACAUCCUGCAAUGCGUACCGGGCGAGCUCGUGGAACUCAACAUUGUACUUGUACACAGAAUUGCUGCCAUGCUUCAAGCGCCUGAACUUCUCACGCAUCUCCUCAACAAAACUGGAAGGAAUGUAGUGGGACCUGAAGGCACGACAGAACUCGUCCCAAAACAUCACCCUGCCACCUCUGGAGUCCUUAAGCUGCUGCCACCAAAUAGAAGCCUGCCCCUUCAACUGGAAUGUUGCAAACUUGACAUAAUCCUCUGGACGCACAUUGCUACACUCGAAAUGCUUGUUCAUAUCACGGAUCCAAUCUUCCGCGUCAAACGGCUGGUCACAACAAGUGAACGUCCUAGGCUGGUUUGACAGGAACUAACUCAGACUGGCGAAGUGAUUGCCACCCUGCUGGAAAUUGCCUUGCUGAUGAUUGGCUCUCUCCUGGAUCAACUGCAAUAGCAUCUGAGUAUUUGCAUUGGUAGCUGCCAUCAUUGCCUGCCAGGCCUCUGCAGGAGGAGGCGGCGGCGGUGGCGGAGGAGGAGGUGGAGGCGGCGUAUCCUCACGCGCUGGGGUCUGACGAGUUGGUGGAGCCAUCCUGAAGACGGACAGCAUAUUAGUCCACAGAAUAUUUGAAGAUAAGCUGAAUCAAAAGACAGAAUAUCUGAAUAGAACUUAGCAUUGCACUCGAACAACAUAGCAAGAGUGCAUUCUCAAAGUAACAGACGACAAAAUUCCGAUAAGGGGCCACAGCAAACAAGUGUGAGCUAGAACUGCUCGGAACAAACAUAAGAUCGAGAUUUCCCAAACCUCAAUCAAGCGUCUGUAGGAAGAUAGUCCUAUAAGAUACUACCAGAUAUCCCACCUAUAAAUUCCCGAAAUAACUGGUCAUGCAAUCAGGCACACGGAUACAAGGAGUAUUUCACACAACUCCUAAACUAAGCCGUCACCUGUAUCACAUCCUUCAACACGCAACCAGCAUCUCGGACCUUCGUUUACAACCGAUCCUCGUGAUCACAACGAUACCAAGUGUGGUAGUACCCCCGAACAAUCUACACCAGUACUGGGGACGUCGGGGUUAUCUCACCACUACCCGUAUUGAAGCAAUAACUAACACCCACCGUUCUUAGGUACUCAGAAAUCUGAAUGAUGGCGAUGUGCGCGAUAAUCCCUGGAGCUCAACUCCCCUGAUACUUAGAGCGGACAGGAGGCACCAGGACAUGAUUUCGUCACAUCGAAAUCAUAUAGAUUUCGCAAACACCCGCGUGAUCCUAAAAAAAUUUUGAGCGAGAAAAGGAGUAGAGUUAAAGAUUUCCUAAGACGGAAGCCUCACCAGAGCAAAGAAGAGGAGAAAAAUGAAACCUACUCUCCGAUAUAACUAAGACUCAAAACAUUUACUAGACUCGACUCGGCCAAAUACGAUCACACAAAGGCUCUUAUGGUCGUAAGGCUCUGAUUACCAACUUGUAACGACCAAGAUGCGGUCCUUUCCGAUCUGGGGGUCGAGGCCCCCGAACAGGAAAGAAGCGCAUAUAAGUGUUUCGCAAGCAAGUAAACAUAGCAUAUAACAAUACUUACAGUAGACAAUCUGGGAUUCAACUAUCUUCUUAUUAAAAUGCAGAGUACAACGCAGGUACAAACAAGGUAGUUCCGGUACGGACUACAAAACAAGGAAAAGGCUAUGCUACCCGCUGCAGGCCCACGAUCACGACCACGAUUUAGUCCUCUGGGUAGUUCACGUAAAGGCGAUCUGUCUCCUCGUCGUACUGCCGCGCCAGCUUGGUGCCGUCGGGAUACUCUGCCUCUGGGGUACCUGUACCUGCUGGAAGUUUCGGAGGAAUCCGUGAGCCACGGGGACUCAGCAAUCUAAGGCCUUGGUGCCAGAUCUAGCCAUGUUAUUGGGCAAGGAAGGGGUAAAGUGUUUCAGGCUGCUGCAUUCUAAGGCUGAAUAAGUGGCUAGCUUACGCAAAGGAGAAGUGACAGUGUUCUAUACUAACGAUCGUGAAUACUUGAUCAGAACGUGAUCCUGAACACCUACCUACGGCAUUCUUAACCCCACCGUGUUCCCGAUCGAAGAGAGAUCUUCGAAGGGACAGUCACGGUUACGCACACAGUUGGCAUAUUUUAUUAGUUUAUGUUUAAGUUUUCUAAUACCGGAUGUUAACAAAAUAUUCCAAGUUGCCACAUAACCGCGGGCACGGCUUUCCGAAAGAUUAAACCCUGCAGGGGUGCUCCAACUAGUUCAUCACAAACGAACACAGGCCGCAAAGGUAUCCUCUAUCACGAAUCUCGUGAUCUCGUCGGAUUCCUUAGAGAAAACCUCAACUCUGGGUGAAACCAAAGCUUCACCGGAAUUCCUAUACGCAAGAUAAACCGCUAAGGCAAGACAAGACUAGCAGGACCUCCCGACGUGUCGACGACCCUGAUAAGAGCCGCGUAUCUCAGUCUUAGGACACGCCGGAUGAGUCACACUACAGGUAUACCAAACCUCAGGUUGCCCUGUGGUGGCCCCAUAGUCUGCUCAGUUUGGACCAACACUCAUGAGGAGCACUGGCCCGAGUUGUUGAUUAAGAAACCUCGGGGUAGCUAUUCCCUAUGCAGUUUAUUAUUAAGUGAUUAGCAAAUAGUACCAAUGUUGGGUCCUGCCGGACACGCCUUAACACUACGCGAUUUAUCAAGGGGGUCCCCAUAACAACCCCGAACGUGUUAGGAGCGAUCAUUAUGGAAUCAAACACCGGUAACCGGUAACUAAGGCGGCAAUAACGGAACAAGACACCCGGCAAAAGGCUAGGCCUCCCGACAUUUACCACAUAUAUAGGUACCUUAAUUAAAUAAAAGGAAUUAACAUAAUGAUAUCAAGCUCAGGGCAACUCAUGAGUUAUAAACACCUGCAACUAGCAAUGCUAACAUUAGUAGCUGAGCAAGCCUACCUAGCCAUGCAAGUUUGCUAGGAAAGAGUAAGGUGUUUAGGCUUACGGCAUAUGAAGAGGUAAUAUAUUUUCAGUGGUAGGCAGCGAGCUAUAACGUGGAAUCGAAACUAACAUAACANNNNNNNNNNNNNNNNNNNNNNNNNNNNNNNNNNNNNNNNNNNNNNNNNNNNNNNNNNNNNNNNNNNNNNNNNNNNNNNNNNNNNNNNNNNNNNNNNNNNAUGUUAAGAACGCUUGGUUAGCACGUAAGGAGGACUACUCAGUAGUUCAAUGUGCAGUCUUGUAUGGCUUAGAACCGGGACUUCAACGUCGCUUUGAGCGUCAUGGAGCAUUUAGAUGUUCCAGGAGUUGAAGUUUAUCUUUCAGAAGAACGCCCGGAUCGAGAGGUAUGAGACCUCCGAUAAAUUCUAUGCUUGCAAGAUGGAGGAGAACUCGUCUGUCAGUGAACAUGUGCUCAAAAUGUCUGGGUACUCAAACCGUCUAGCUGAGCUGGGGAUUGAACUCCCGCAAGAGGCUAUCACUGACAGAAUCCUUCAAUCACUGCCGCCAAGCUAUAAAGGCUUUGUGUUGAACUACAACAUGCAAGGGAUGAACAAGUCACCCGGCGAGUUGUUUGCGAUGCUGAAAGUCGCAGAGUCUGAACUCCGUAAAGAACAUCAAGUGUUGAUGGUGAAUAAGACCACUAGUUUCAAGAGAAACAACAAAGGCAAGAAGGGUAAUUCAAAGAAGAGCGGCAUGCCCGUUGCCAAUCCGACGAAGAAACCCAAAGCUGGACCUAAGCCUGAAACGGAGUGUUACUAUUGCAAGGGUAUGGGUCAUUGGAAGCGCAAUUGCCCCAAGUAUCUGGCAGAUAAGAAGGCGGCCAAAGAAAAAUCAGGUAUAUUUGACAUACAUGUUAUUGAUGUGUACUUAACCGGCUCUCGUAGUAGUGCCUGGGUAUUCGAUACCGGUUCUGUUGCUCAUAUUUGCAACUCGAAAUAGGAACUGCGGAAUAGACGAAGGCUGGCGAAAGAUGAAGUGACGAUGCGCGUAGGAAAUGGUUCCAAGGUUGAUGCAAUCACCGUCGGCACAGUUUCACUUCAGUUACCAUCAGGAUUAGUGGUGAACUUAAAUCAUUGUCAUUUAGUGCCUGCGUUGAGCAUGAACAUUAUAUCUGGAUCUUGUUUAUUGCAAGACGGUUACUCUUUUAAGUCAGAGAAUAAUGGUUGUUCUAUUUCUAUGAGUAACAUCUUUUAUGGUCAUGCACCUAAUGUGAGAGGAUUGUUCAUAUUGAAUCUUGAUAGCGAUACACACAUACAUAACAUUGAGACCAAAAGAGUUAGAGUUAACAAUGAUAGCGCCAUAUUUUUUGUGGCACUGCCGCUUGGGUCAUAUUGGUGUAAAGCGCAUGAAGAAACUCCAUGCUGAUGGACUUUUGGAGUCACUUGACUUUGAUUCACUUGACACGUGCGAACCAUGCCUCAUGGGCAAGAUGACUAAGACUCCGUUCUCCGGAACAAUGGAGCGUGCAAGUGACUUGUUGGAAAUCAUACAUACCGAUGUGUGUGGUCCGAUGAGCGUGGAGGCACGCGGCGGAUAUCAUUAUUUUCUCACCUUCACUGACGAUUUGAGUAGAUAUGGUUAUGUCUACUUGAUGAAACACAAGUCUGAAACAUUUGAAAAGUUCAAGCAAUUUCAGAGUGAAGUUGAAAAUCAUCGUAACAAGAAGAUCAAGUUCCUACGGUCUGAUCGUGGGGGUGAAUAUCUGAGUUUCGAGUUUGGUGCUCACUUAAGACAAUGUGGAAUUGUUUCACAGUUGACACCGCCUUGAACACCACAGCGUAAUGGUGUGUCCGAACGUCGUAAUCGUACUUUAUUAGAGAUGGUGCGAUCUAUGAUGUCUCUUACCAAUUUGCCGUUAUCGUUUUGGGGUUAUGCAUUAGAAACAGCUGCAUUCACUUUAAAUAGGGCACCAUCAAAAUCCGUUAAGACGACACCAUAUGAACUGUGGUAUGGCAAAAGGCCAAAGUUGUCGUUUCUUAAAGUUUGGGGAUGUGAUGCUUAUGUCAAAAAGCUUCAGCCUGAAAAGCUGGAACCCAAAGCGGAAAGGUGCGUCUUCAUAGGUUACCCAAAAGAGACAGUUGGGUACACCUUCUAUCUCAAAUCCGAGGGCAAAGUGUUUGUUGCUAAAAACGGAGCUUUUCUCGAGAAGGAGUUUCUCUCGAGAGAAUUGAGUGGGAGGAAGAUAGAACUUGACGAGGUUGUCGAACCUCUCAUCCCUCUGGAUGGUGGCGCAGGACAAGGGGAAACCUCUGUCGUUGCGACGCCGGUUGAGGAGGAAGUUAAUGAUGAUGAUCAUGAAACUCCAGUUCAAGUUUCUGUCGAACCACGCAGGUCGACGAGACCACGUGCUGCUCCAGAGUGGUACGGUAAUCCCGUCUUGUCAAUCAUGUUGUUAGACAACAAUGAACCUGCAAAUUAUGAAGAAGCAAUGGUGGGCCUAGAUUCCAACAAAUGGCUAGAAGCCAUGAAGUCCGAGAUAGGAUCCAUGUAUGAGAACAAAGUGUGGACUUUGGAGGUACUACCUGAGGGCCGCAAGGCUAUUCAGAACAAAUGGAUCUUUAAGAGGAAGACGGACGCUGACGGAAAUGUGACCGUUUAUAAAGCUCGACUUGUGGCAAAGGGUUUUUCACAAGUUCAAGAAGUUGACUACGAUGAGACUUUCUCACCCAUAGUAAUGCUUAAGUCCGUCAGAAUCAUGUUAGCAAUAGCUGCAUUUUUCGAUUAUGAAAUCUGGCAGAUGGAUGUCAAAACGGCAUUCCUUAACGGUUUCCUUAAGGAAGAAUUGUAUAUGAUGCAACCCGAAGGUUUUGUCGAUCCUAAGAAUGCCAACAAGGUGUGCAAGCUCCAGCGAUCCAUUUAUGGACUGGUGCAAGCAUCUCGGAGUUGGAACAAACGCUUUGAUGAAGUGAUCAAAGCAUUUGGGUUUAUACAAGUGGUUGGAGAAUCUUGUAUUUACAAGAAAGUGAGUGGGAGCUUUGCAGCGUUUCUAAUAUUAUAUAUGGAUGACAUAUUGCUGAUUGGAAACAACAUGGAGUUUUUAGAGAGCAUAAAGGAUUACUUGAAUAAAAGUUUCUCUAUGAAGGACCUAGGAGAAGAUGCUUACAUUCUAGGCAUUAAGAUCUAUAGGGAUAGAUCAAAACGCCUGAUAGGACUUUCACAAAGCACAUACCUUGAUAAAGUUUUGAAGAGGUUCAAAAUGGAACAGUCCAAGAAAGGGUUCUUGCCAGUUUUACAAGGUACAAGAUUGAGUAAGACUCAGUGCCCAGCAACUGAUGAAGAUAGAGAGCAUAUGCGCUCCGUCCCCUAUGCUUCAGCCAUAGGUUCUAUCAUGUAUGCAAUGCUGUGCACUAGACCGGAUGUUAGCCUGACCAUAAGUAUGGCAGGUAGGUUCCAGAGUAAUCCAGGAGUGGAUCACUGGACAACGGUCAAGAAUAUCCUGAAGUACCUGAAAAGGACUAAGGAGAUGUUUCUCGUGUAUGGAGGUGACGAAGAGCUCGCCGUAAAAGGUUACAUCGAUGCAAGCUUUGACACAGAUCCGGACGACUCUAAGUCACAAACCGGAUACGUAUUUAUUCUUAAUGGGGGUGCGGUAAGCUGGUGCAGUUCCAAGCAAAGCGUCGUAGCAAAUUCUACAUGUGAAGCGGAGUACAUGGCUGCCUUGGAGGCGGCUAAGGAGGGUGUCUGGAUGAAGCAGUUCAUGACGGAUCUUGGAGUGGUGCCAAGCGCACUGAAUCCAAUAACCUUGUUCUGUGACAACACGGGUGCCAUUGCCUUAGCAAAGGAACCACGGUUUCACAAGAAGACUAGACACAUCAAACUACGCUUCAACCUCAUCCGCGACUACGUCGAGGAGGAGGACGUAAAUAUAUGCAAAGUGCACACGGAUCUGAAUGUAGCAGACCCGCUGACUAAACCUCUUCCACGGCCAAAGCAUGAUCAACACCAGAACUGUAUGGGUGUUAGAUUUAUUACAAUGUAAUUCGCAUGAUGAUGUGAGGGCUAGAUUAUAGACUCUAGUGCAAGUGGGAGACUGUUGGAAUUAUGCCCUAGAGGCAAUAAUAAAUAUAGUUAUUAUUAUAAUUCCUGUAUCAAGAUAAUCGUUUAUUAUCCAUGCUAUAAUUGUAUUGAAUGAAGACUCAUUUACAUGUGUGGAUACAUAGACAAAACACCGUCCCUAGCAAGCCUCUAGUUGGCUAGCCAGUUGAUCAAAGAUAGUCAGUGUCUUCUGAUUAUGAACAAGGUGUUGUUGCUUGAUAACUGGAUCACGUCAUUGGGAGAAUCACAUGAUGGACUAGACCCAAACUAAUAGACGUAGCAUGUUGAUCGUGUCAUUUUGUUGCUACUGUUUUCUGCGUGUCAAGUAUUUAUUCCUAUGACCAUGAGAUCAUAUAACUCACUGACACCGGAGGAAUGCUUUGUGUGUAUCAAAUGUCGCAACGUAACUGGGUGACUAUAAAGAUGCUCUACAGGUAUCUCCGAAGGUGUUAGUUGAGUUAGUAUGGAUCAAGACUGGGAUUUGUCACUCCGUGUGACGGAGAGGUAUCUCGGGGCCCACUCGGUAAUACAACAUCACACACAAGCCUUGCAAGCAAUGUGACUUAGUGUAAGUUACGUGAUCUUGUAUUAGAGAACGAGUAAAUAGACUUGCCAGUAAACGAGAUUGAAAUAGGUAUGCGGAUACUGACGACCGAAUCUCGGGCAAGUAACAUGCCGAAGGACGCAGGGAAUGACAUAUGGGAUUAUAUGAAUCCUUGGCACUGAGGUUCAAACGAUAAGAUCUUCGUAGAAUAUGUAGGAUCCAAUAUGGGCAUCCAGGUCCCACUAUUGGAUAUUGACCGAGGAGUCUCUCGGGUCAUGUCUACAUAGUUCUCGAACCGCAGGGUCUGCACACUUAAGGUUCGACGUUGUUUUAUGCGUAUUUGAGUUAUAUGGUUGGUUACCGAAUGUUGUUCGGAGUCCCGGAUGAGAUCACGGAUCUCACGAGGGUUUCCGGAAUGGUCCGGAAACGAAGAUUGAUAUAUAGGAUGACCUCAUUUGAUUACCGGAAGGUUUUCGGAGUUACCGGGAAUGUACCGGGAAUGACGAAUGGGUUCCGGGAGUUCACCGGGAGGGGGCAACCCACCCCGGGGAAGCCCAUAGGCCUUGAGGAUGGCACACCAACCCUUAGUGGGCUGGUGGGACAGCCCAAAAGGGCCCUAUGCGCCUAGAAAAGAAAAUCAAAGAGAAAAGAAAAAAAAGGAGGUGGGAAGGGAAGGAAGGACUCCCACCCACCAAACCAAGUCCAACUCGGAUUGGGGGGGGGGAGCCAUCCCCCUUGGACUCGGCCGACCCCCUUGGGGCUCCUUGAGCCCCAAGGCAAGGUCCCCUCUCCCUCCCACCUAUAUAUACGGAGGUUUUAGGGCUGAUUUGAGACGUUUUUUCCACGGCAGCCCGACCACAUACCUCCACGGUUUUUCCUCUAGAUCGCAUUUCUGCGGAGCUCGGGCGGAGCCCUGCUGAGACAAGGUCAUGACCAACCUCCGGAGCGCCGUCACGCUGCCGGAGAACUCUUCUACCUCUCCGUCUCUCUUGCUAGAUCAAGAAGGCCGAGAUCAUCGUCGAGCUGUACGUGUGCUGAACGCGGAGGUGCCGUCCGUUCGGUACUAGAUCGUGGGACUGAUCGCGGGAUUGUUCGCGGGGCGGAUCGAGGGACGUGAGGACGUUACACUACAUCAACCGCGUUCACUAACGCUUCUGCUGUACGGUCUACAAGGGUACGUAGAUCACUCAUCCCCUCUCGUAGAUGGACAUCACCAUGAUAGGUCUUCGUGCGCGUAGGAAAAUUUUUGUUUCCCAUGUGACGUUCCCCAAGAAUGGAUUCAUUCAUGAAAUUCACCCAACUUUUGCCGGCAUCUGAGAAUGCACAUGCAAUGAUGCCACGCAAAAUUUCGACGCAAUCGGAGACCAAACGCACAUUGCGUCACGUCCGGCAUCUGUUUCUGCCGGUUUUUAAAUAGAAAUUCAUAAAAAAGCACGGAAUGUGAGAAAAUUCUAAAAUUUGACGUGCCGCCUUGUGAAGUUCAUCGUGAAGCGUGAAAAAAAUGAAUUUUUUUCAUGAAGGGGAGUUGCAAAAUGGCGUUGUAGCACCCCUUCCGUCCAUACCGACACUCAUGGGUUGCACAUGAAGUACACGGAUGCAUUCAUGAAAUUAACCCAACUUUUGCCGGCACGUGAGAAUGCACAUGCAGUGAUGCCACACAAAAUUUCGACGAAAUCGGAGACCAAACGCACGUUGCGUCACGUCCGGCAUCUGUUUUUGCCGGUUUUUGAAUGGAAAUUUUAAAAAAAGCACGGAUUGUCAGAAAAUUCUAAAAUUUGACGUGCCGCCUUGUGAAGUUCAUCGUAAAGUGUGAAAAAAAUGAAAUUUUUUCAAGAUGGGGAUUUGCAAGAUGGCGUUGUAUCAACCCUUCUCUCCAUACCGACACCCAUGGGUUGCACAUGAAGUAGAUGGAUGCAUUCAUGAAAUUCACCCAACUUUUGCCGACACCUGAGAAUGCAUAUGCAAUGAUGCCACACAAAAUUUCGACGAAAUCGGAUACCAAACGCACGCUGGGUCACGUCCGGCAUCUGUUUUUGCUGGUUUUUGAAUGGAAAUUCAUAAAAAACAUGGAUUGUCAGAAAAUUCUAAAAUUUGACGUGCCUCCUUGUGAAGUUCAUCGUAAAGCGUGGAAAAAUGAAAAAAAUUAAUGAAGGGGAGUUGCGAGAUGGCGUUGUAGCACCCCUUCCGUCCAUACCGACACCCAUGGGUUGCACAUGAAGUACAUGGAUUCAUUCAUGAAAUUCACCCAACUUUUGCCGGCAUCUGAGAAUGCACAUGCAAUGAUGUCACGCAAAAUUUCGAUGAAAUCGGAGACCAAACGCACGUUGCGUCACGUCCAGCAUCUGUUUUUGCCGGUUUUUGAAUAGAAAUUCAUAAAAAAGCACGGAUUGUCAGAAAACUCUAAAAUUUGACGUGCCGCCUUGUGAAUUUCUUCGUGAAGCGUGAAAAAAAAUGAAAUUUUUUCAUGAAGGGGAGUUACAAGAUGGCGUUGUAGCACCCCUUCCGUCCAUACUGACACCCAAGGGUUGCACAUGAAGUACGUGGAUACACUCAUGAAAUUCACCCAACUUUUGCCGGCACGUGAGAAUGCACAUGCAAUGAUGACACGCAAAAUUUCAACGAAAUUAGAGACCAAACGCACGUUGCGUCACGUCCGGCAUCUGUUUUUGUCGGUUUUUGAAUGGAAAUUCAUAAAAAAGGACGGAUUGGUGGAAAAUUCUAAAAUUUGACGUGCCGCCUUGUGAAGUUCAUCGUGAAGCGUGGAAAAAAUGAAAAAAUUUCAUGAAGGGGACUUGCAAAUUCAUAUGGAAAUAUUUCAUGUAGGAGACUUGCAAAUAUUCAUAUGAAAAAAAAAUGAAAAAAAUACACCCGACGUCGUCAUAUUGUUUUCCCACGACGGCGGGAUUAGCGACGUUGCAUACCCUAGCCACAUCUACGUGAUCUCGCCGCCGCCGCGCCCCGACGCCUCGCUCUGCACCCGACGUGAUCUCGCCACCCCCUCUCCCCCGACGCCUAGCCGUACGCCGACGUGAUCUCGCCGCCCUCCAUCCCUCCCGACGCCGCACCAUCACAACUUCGUGACCGUGGCCGUCACCGUCCGUCCGCGCGUCGCCGUCCAUCACCGUCACCAUCUGUCCGCCGUCGGUCGUCACCGUCCAUCGUCCUUCACCGUCCGUCGCCGUCGGCCUUGACCGUACGUCAGUGCGUCGCCGCGGCCUUCACCGUUCGNNNNNNNNNNNNNNNNNNNNNNNNNNNNNNNNNNNNNNNNNNNNNNNNNNNNNNNNNNNNNNNNNNNNNNNNNNNNNNNNNNNNNNNNNNNNNNNNNNNNACUAUGGGGCCACCACAGGGCAACCUGAGGUUUGGUAUACCUGUAGUGUGACUCAUCCGGCGUGUCCUGAUACUGAGAUACGCGGCUCUUAUCAGGGUCGUCGACACGUCGGGAGGUCCUGCUAGUCUUGUCUUGCCUUAGCGGUUUAUCUUGCGUAUAGGAAUUCCGGUGAAGCUUUGGUUUCACCCAGAGUUGAGGUUUUCUCUAAGGAAUCCAACGAGAUCACGAGAUUCGUGAUAGAGGAUACCUUUGCGGUCUGUGUUCGUUUGUGAUGGACUAGUUGGAGCACCCCUGCAGGGUUCAAUCUUUCGGAAAGCCGUGCCCGCGGUUAUGUGGCAACUUGGAAUAUUUUGUUAACAUCCGGUAUUAGAAAACUUAAACAUAAACCAAUAAAAUAUGCCAACUGUGUGCGUAACCGUGACUGUCCCUUCGAAGAUCUCUCUUCGAUAGGGAACACGGUGGGGUUAUGAAUGCCGUAGGUAGGUGUUCAGGAUCACGUUCUGAUCAAGUAUUCACGAUCGUUAGUAUAGAACACUGUCACUUCUCCUUUGCGUAACCUAGCCACUUAUUCAGCCUUAGGAUGCAGCAGCCUGAAACACUUCACCCCUUCCUUGCCCAAUAACAUGGCUAGAUCUGGCACCAAGGCCUUAGAUUGCUGAGUCCCCGUGGCUCACGGAUUCCUCCGAAACUUCCAGCAGGUACAGGUACCCCAGAGGCAGAGGAUCCCGACGGCACCCAGCUGGCGUGGUAGUACGACGAGGAGACAGAUCGCCUUUACGUUAACUACCCAGAGGACUGAACCGUGGUCGUGAUCGUGGGCCUGCAGCGGGUAGCAUAGCCUUUUCCUUGUUUUGUAGUCCGUACCGGAACUACCUUGUUUGUACCUGCGUUGUACUCUGUAUUUUAAUAAGAAGACAGUUGAAUCCCAGAUUGUCUACUGUAAGUAUUGUUAUAUGCUAUGUUUACUUGCUUGCGAAACACUUAGAUGCGCUUCUUUCCUGUUCGGGGGCCUCGACCCCCAGAUCGAAAAGGACCGCAUCUUGGUCGUUACAUUUCGUCAGGGCAGCCAGAGUACGCUUCGCUUUUACCGGAUCUAUCUUCUUCUCCGGAGGUGGAUUUUUCUUUGCUUUGACCCCUUCAAAGAAGUUGGUCACUUCGGCUUGCACGAUCUUUGUGUUUUCCUACUGGCUCCUCUCGUAUGGUAACUUCUCUGGAGUCUUCAGAGAAGGACCGCAUCUGUAUUGCCUGCCUCUAGCUGUACUGCUAGACUGUAACGACCAAGAUGCGGUCCUUUCCGAUCUGGGGGUCGAGGCCCCCGAAUAGGAAAGAAGCGCAUCUAAGUGUUUCACAAGCAAGUAAACAUAGCACAUAAUAACGAUUACAGUAGACAAUCUGGGAUUCAACUGUCUUCUUAUUAAUAAUACAGAGUACAGUGCAGAUACAAACAAGGUAGUUCCGGUACGGACUACGGAACAAGGAAAAUGCUAUGCUACCCGCUGCAGGCCCACGAUCACGACCACGGCUCAGUCCUCGGGAUAGUUCACGUAAAGGCGAUCUGUCUCCUCGUCGUACUGCCAUGCCAGCUGGGUGCCGUCGGGAUCAUCUGACUCUGGGGUACCUGUACCUGCUGGAAGUUUCGGAGGAAUCCGUGAGCCACGGGGACUCAGCAAUCUAAGACCUUGGUGCCAGAACUAGUCAUGUUAUUGGGUAAGGAAGGGGUGAAGUGUUUCGGGCAGCUGCAACCUAUGAUUGAAUAAGUGGCUAACUUACGCGAGAAGGAAGUGAAAGUGGUCUACGCUAACGAUCGGGAAUACUUGAUCAGAAAGUGAUCCUGAACACCUACCUACGGCAGUCAUAACCCCACCGUGUUCCCGAUCGAAGAGAGAUCUUCAAAGGGACAUUCACGGUUACGCACACAGUUGGCAUUUUUUAUUAAUUUAUGUUUAAGUUCUCUAAUACCGGAUGUUAACAAAAUAUUCCAAGUUGCCACAUAACCGCGGGCACGGCUUUCCGAAAGAUUAAACCCUGCAGGGGUGCUCCAACUAGUCCAUCACAAACGAACACAGGCCGCAAAGGCAUCCUCUAUCACGAAUCUCGUGAUCUCGUCGGAUUCCUUAGAGGAAAACCUCAACUCUGGGUGAAACCAAAGCUUCACUGGGAUUCCUAUACGCAAGAUAUACCGCUAAGGCAAGACAAGACUAGCAGGACCUCCCGACGUGUCGACGACCCUGAUAAGAGCCGCGUAUCUCAGUCUCAGGACACGCCGGAUGAGUCACACUACAGGUAUACCAAACCUCAGGUUGCCCUGUGGUGGCCCCAUAGUCUGCCCAGUUUGGACCAACACUCAUGAGGAGCACUGGCCCGGGUUGUUGAUUAAAUUCCUCGGGUUAGCUAUUCCCUAUGCAGCUUAUUAUUAGGUGAUUAGCAAAUAGUACCAAAGUUGGGUCCUGCCGGACAAGCCUUAACACAACGCGAUUUAUCAAGGGGGUCCCCAUAACAACCCCGAACGUGUUAGGAGCGAUCAUUAUGGAAUCAAACACCGGUAACCGGUAACUGAGGCGGCAAUAACGGAACAAGACACCCGGCAAAAGGCUAGGCCUCCCGUCAUUUACCAAGUAUAUAGAUACAUUAAUUAAAUAACAGAAAUUAAUAUAAUGAUAUCAAUCUCAUGUCAUCACAUGAGUUUAAAUCACCUGCAACUAAAACGCUAACAUUGGUAGCUGAGCAAGCCUACCUAGCCAUGCAAGUUUGCUAGGAAAGAGUAAGGUGUUUAGGCUCAUGGCAUAUGAAGAGGCAAUAUAUUUUAAGUGGUAGGCAGCGAGAAAUAUGACGUGGAAUCGAAACUAACAUAACAAGUCUAGAUAUGGGAUCAAGGUCAUGUCAUCUUGCCUGUGAUAUCCUCAGCUUGGAAUGGUUCUGGAUCGUCCUGCACGUACUCUCCUGACUCCACGUAUUCGGUCUCCGCUCCCGGUGCUACCCAACACAAGAAUAACAGCCAAUGAACAGCAGCACCACAAGAUGCAACAAUCACAUGAUGCAUGAGAUGAAAGUUGAGCAUGCACCACUAUUUCUAACACUAGCACAAGCAAGAUAAACUACAACAAGUUCCUGGACAGAAUUUUGCACUAAACUAUUUGGACAUGCAUGGGAAUGAUAUGAACAGAUGCAUCUCGUAAAAACGGUGCAAAACCAUAUAAAGAACUUUGCCAACGGAGCUACGGAUCAACGGGAAUCGACGAAACACGAUAUGAAGCCCUACAUGAAAGAUUCAACCCCACACACUCAAUUGGCACAGAUCAGGUGUUCCCAGGUUGCCAAGACAUAUAUUAACCCAACAUGAAUGAAAAGGAGCAAGGUAGAACACCACAACAACAAUUAAGCACAAACUUUGAACAAAAUGGCAAAACUAUGCAAUCUGCCAGUUUCUGCAUCUUAGCUGUUUGUGAGCCACAUGAAACAUAGCUACAGGUCUUCAAAUAUGACAAAUAAUAUAUGUGCCUGUUGCCAACCAAGAACACUACAAGCUCCAGCAAUAAUCACAGCAAAAGGAAUUAAACUCUAGAAGAUACAAGGCCACAAACUUUCCCAAAACCAUCAGUUCUCAGGGACUUGGUGAAAAUUCCUGCACCUGAGACUCUGUUUCUGUUCUGAAGCUUUUUGACAGUAAUCAAAACACAAUCUACUGGACUCCAAAUAAAUUGAAAAUUGACAGGAAGCUUCACAAACAUCCCAGGUUCAAAACACUAGCACUGAACUAAGUCCAGUUCUCAACAGAAUGACCAGCACUUCCUUAUCUACAGGGGAAGAAAAUGUUUCCAGCAUCCCAGACUUAGUGAAAUUUUCAGAGUUCAAAAAUCUGGAAUUUUCCAGCCACAUGCCCACUUUGUCUAGGCAUAGUUUGCACACGCAUGUUACCAAGAGGUGAUUGACACCACUAUGGUGUUGAGCACAAACCCCUACUAUUAACACACAAAGAUCCAUGCCCUUGGGCUCCAUCUAUACCAUGGAAUCAAGGACCAAACUUCCAACAAAAUUGUAAAUGCAACUCCAUAAGGUAUGCUUCUAAGAUGACAAUACAUAGGUGAGUUUUUAUGUGUACAAUGACAAAGUGACAUGGGGGUUUGAACCCCAUGUUUGUGUCAUGGACAUCAACAAUACCAACAUAUCUACCAAACUAUCCCCACACACAAACACCAUGCCCUCUCACAUAUAGACAUGUGAAGGUGCAUAGUUUUUGCAAGGGUGGGGAAGUUCCACACACACUCACAUACUCCACAUGAUCUUAGCUACCAACUAAAACAAGGUCAACUCCAUAUGUAAACACACAACCUAGUGCAUCAACACAUGAUAGCACUUACAACAAAGAAGAAGCUACACAAGUUUGCUACUUCACUUGCUAGCUUCACCUAGGAUAAACUACUAGGUAGGACCAGCAUGCACACACCAUAUGUCAAGCUUCUCCAUAUGUAAAUGGCCUCACACCCACAUGCAAUUCUCACAAGCCACACACUACAUCACCUAACCUAGAAAUAACAGCAAGAAAAUAAAAUAGAAACAAGCUGCCAUGACCACCUAUGGGUAUAACAGGAACUACAAAGCAAAGAUGAAUCAAUAUAGCAGCAAAGAGAAAAAAAAGGAACUUCCUGGGAUUCGAUCCCAGUACUCCCUCUGGUAACCCAGAGCACCAAUACCACUCCACUGAUCACCAUGCACUCGACAGAGGAGGGGUACAUGGCGAGAUAACCUCUCUGCUGCUGGUACUACUUACGAACAGGAAAUAAAACCAAAAAAAAAAUAGGGGCGGUGCACCACCGGGGACUCGAACCCUGCACCUCUCGUUGACCAACAAGAGUCACUACCACUGCCCUACUGCAACUACAUCUGACAGAGGAAGGACCUGAAGCGAGAAAUACCAAGACCAUCGCUGUCUCUGCUCCACAACUGCGCGCCGGCGACAGAGAAGACGCCGUGGCGAGCAACUGCUGCCGCUGCGCCGCUCGAGGGCGACCUGCCGAAGUGGGAUGGCGCUACGAGGGGGAGGAAGAACCCUACUACCACUACCAACUACAAGCCUCUCCUGCAGAGAACACCAUGCACACAAGCUGAAGAAGCUACAACUUUGCUCGACGGAACUGCACGACGACAGGGAGUUCGCCGGCGUCCUAUUGCUGCAGCAGCUACCGGAGGAACCGAAGCAACCCGAGGAGAUGGAUCCCCUGCUACUAUCUACGCACAGCCGUGGGGCUACCUCGUCUACAUCGACACGAACGGCGGAAGUCUACUCUGCCUGCGCCAACUAGCAGAGAAACAACUACACGUACAGCCUGCCGGUACAACUCCGGCAAGCCUCGAGCAGGAGGCUCGGCGCCACUUCCGAAGAGGAAACUAGGAGGGGGAGAGGCACGGUCUCGCUCACCUUGCGUCGAGAGGAGAGGCGCCCGACGUGGAAGAAGAAGAAGUGCGCCUACUGCUGCAGGUAAAAGCCGCUGGGCGAGGAAGAAGGUGCUCGUCGGGGACGUCGAGGAAGAAGCCCCGGCUCCGGCUCCGCGCGAAAAUGGAACCCCUCCUCGGUCCUCUUGCUUGCGCAGCUACGGGGAGGCGACGAGGUGGCCGCUACGCCGGCGACGAGCUCGACCCGGUGCUGGUCAUGGCGUUGGGGACGACGAGAGUCUCACUGGCGGCGCUGGAGGGAGAGGACGAGGGAGAGGAGGAACCCUAGAGUGGUGGGGAGGCUGAGGG
This 20863-nucleotide long non-coding RNA is filed under the name Hordeum vulgare. RNAcentral's name for it is "long non-coding RNA (HVUL_LNC006100)". Lineage: Eukaryota; Viridiplantae; Streptophyta; Magnoliopsida; Poales; Poaceae. The record is from RNAcentral.